This 250-nucleotide unclassified non-coding RNA is filed under the name plant metagenome. Its description in RNAcentral is "partial contains small subunit ribosomal RNA, internal transcribed spacer 1, and 5.8S ribosomal RNA". The stretch from base 201 to 250 matches the Rfam family "5.8S ribosomal RNA", at positions 1 to 50 of the family's 154-position model. The record is from RNAcentral.
GUAGGUGAACCUGCGGAAGGAUCAUUAAGGAGUAUAAGAUGGAGCUUCGGCUCCUGACUCCCCACCCUUUGCUUACUAUCCCCUAUACUUCGGCGGGCGAUGAUAGAGCCGAGAUAACUCUCCCUAUCUUAACCCGUCGGCUUUACAAAACCUCAAGCUUUAACUGUGUCGUCUGAGCAUUUUGCAAGUAAAUUAAUAAAAACUUUCAACAACGGAUCUCUUGGUUCUGGCAUCGAUGAAGAACGCAGCA